GACAGAGGGUGCUAGCGUUGUUCGGAAUGACUGGGCGUAAAGGGCGCGUAGGCGGGAAUAUUAGUCAAGCGUGAAAGCCCCAGGCUUAACCUGGGAACAGCGCAUGAAACGGUAUACCUAGAGGACGAGAGAGGGAAGCGGAAUUCCUAGUGUAGAGGUGAAAUUCGUAGAUAUUAGGAGGAACACCAGAGGCGAAGGCGGCUCUCUGGCUCGUAACUGACGCUGAGGCGCGAAAGCGUGGGGAGCAAACAGG
This 253-nucleotide ribosomal RNA is filed under the name uncultured bacterium. RNAcentral describes it as "partial 16S ribosomal RNA". It matches the Rfam family "Bacterial small subunit ribosomal RNA", at positions 524 to 776 of the family's 1533-position model. The record is from RNAcentral.